GGUCGCGUAGCUCAGUUGGAUAGAGCACCUGCCUUCUAAGCAGGCGGUCCCAGGUUCGAAUCCUGGCGCGAUCA
RNAcentral lists this transfer RNA (74 nucleotides) under Gillisia limnaea. Its description in RNAcentral is "tRNA-Arg(tct)". It matches the Rfam family "tRNA". Rfam says of the family: Transfer RNA (tRNA) molecules are approximately 80 nucleotides in length. Their secondary structure includes four short double-helical elements and three loops (D, anti-codon, and T loops). Further hydrogen bonds mediate the characteristic L-shaped molecular structure. tRNAs have two regions of fundamental functional importance: the anti-codon, which is responsible for specific mRNA codon recognition, and the 3' end, to which the tRNAs corresponding amino acid is attached (by aminoacyl-tRNA synthetases). tRNAs cope with the degeneracy of the genetic code in two manners: having more than one tRNA (with a specific anti-codon) for a particular amino acid; and 'wobble' base-pairing, i.e. permitting non-standard base-pairing at the 3rd anti-codon position. RNAcentral also lists the same sequence under 6 other names. Lineage: Bacteria; Pseudomonadati; Bacteroidota; Flavobacteriia; Flavobacteriales; Flavobacteriaceae. The record is from RNAcentral.